UCUUUCAUCGCUGUUAAAGUUACAAUGGCCAUUUUGGGCUCCUUUUGAGCUUUGCAACCGAGAAACAAAGAAAUCUUUCAAGAGUCAAAGGCUCCACCCCUGGGAGCCCCCUGACUCUGGUUUUCAGGCCUGAUCACCCUGGCGACCCCAAGUGGGGUGCCCUCUCUUGACGGUUGACUCAUUGAGUAUUUUAGGCACCUACUGAGUUGAUUAAGAGGAUAGGAGACCUGUGAUUUAUUCUGUGAACUGUCCUGCCAGUGUUGUGUGUCCCGGCAGGUACUGUCGUGUGACCCUUAAUUUGAUAACCCUAGGGAAGAGGCCAUGAGGGCAAGGCCUGAUCUCUUCUUUUCCUUUCUUUGUCUGUCUCAUUCAUCACCUCCUCUGUUGUCACCAAGUCAAGGUUAAGUUCAGGCUGGACCUAAGCAGAACAUGGACCUUCUGUAAGAUUGAAAACUUCAAAACCUUUUUGCCAGGGACUUAACUCACAAUCCCAGUGCUGGGAGCCCCAGCCCCCCACCCACUCCAGGCCUUUGCCUCCUGCUUCCCUGGCUUGUAUUGUGCUGGCUCAGGGACUAAGUGCCCCAGCUGAGUGGCACUUGACUAAAUCUUAUAACCAUAUUGAUGCCCACAGUCAGGCCCUGUACCCUUUCUCCAGCCGCUGUCAGUCAGACACUGGCUUUACCACCAUGGUGAACUCCACAAGCAUCCCCGGAGACUCACCCUUGGGUGCAUUUUAACUAAUUGGAAACACUUUCAAUUGGAUGGGUUAUGCCCCAGAAACUCCAUCUUGGAGAAAACUUGAGGGGUUUCUCUGUGCCUUUGUGAUGUAGUUGGACAGGUAGCUCAACCUAUAAUGUCAUUUGAGUCACAACCCAGUUUCUGAGAAACCAAGAGCAACUGUCCUUGGAAAUCCUUCUAAGGCUGGAAAAAGCAGCUCUAGAGUUGGUUCAGGUUCCACCCAUUUCCCUUAUCUCAAAGAGCUUGCAAAUCCUCUAGGGACAAUGGAGCUCAUCACUAAUUCCCAAGACUGAGGGAAAAAAAAAAGGGAAAAAGGAAAAAACGGCCAUAAGCAUGCCUUUGCCAAAAAAAUCUAUCAUCUUAAAUGUCUUCUCCACAAAUAUUAGCAAAAAGGCUCAAAACAAAAUUUGGAUUCAUAGCUGAUUUAAGGAAAUCUUUUUCUCGUUUCUCUUAUGCUAAUGAUGACUUAUGGCAAUUUGGUGAAAUUAUACCUUUGUGAGCAGAACUGAAACACUUAUCUUUUUCUCCCUACCUGAUCUCUCCAGAAUUUGGAAACUCAGUGAGUGAGAAUUGAAAGUAUCAUCUGGCACAUGGAAGCCCUAAACAAGUUUACCAUGAAGACAUUAAACGAUACACAACAUAGCCUUUCGCUGCUCGAUUUAGAAAUAUCCCAAAUGCAUAAGGCGGUCCUCCAAAAUCAAAUGGCAUUGAUGUCUUGACAGCAGCACAGGAGGGCACUUGUGCCAUUAUAAAAACCCAAUGCUGUGUCUAUGUUCCUGACUACCAUCAAAAUAUCUCUGUAUUCCUAUCUGAUAUGAGCCACCAAAUUAAAUCUGUGUCUUACCCCAUCCCUGAGUGAUUGGUUGGACUCCUGGUCAUUUUGGACUCUGGACUACUAUCAAAGCCUUAUUCAUUGGGGUAAUCAUAUUGCUUGCAUUUCUUAUUAUUAUUUGUUGUCUAUCUCAUUGUUUGUCUUCCACAUGUCAACAAAGUUUCGCCUUCUGGACCACUUCUCGUCAAAUGAUUCUCUCACCUUCAGAUGAUCUGUAUACCUUGUCUGCCUUGGACUCUGCAGGUGCAACCUUCCAGUCCAUUGGACUUCCUGCUUGAACCCCUAUGGCCCCAUUUAGGGACAGCUCUAUGACCUUGUACAGCCAGAAGUAGUUACAGAAGAUUGACCAUCUUCCAUAUCCCCAAAGGAUUUCCGGGCCAAAUGGGUUCAGGGGGUGUUUUAUGAUGAGGCUCAAGGCUGCCCCAGGGAGAGAAGCCCAAGGCAUCCUGCCCUACACACCGAUCAUCCUCUUGGAAGCAUAGGAUGUCCUGACCUGAUUCGACCUGAUUUGUAUCCAAAGUUUUAGGACCACCCAAUAACCAGACUCCACCUGCACUGAUACCAUUUUAAUGACUUUUUUACAUAGUCUUUCCUUUGUCUUGUAAAGAAAUAACUCACAUACCUAUGCCUUAUAAACUUAGCCCUGCCCUCAACUCAUUGCAGCUCUUCACUGCCCAUGGGCCUUGUCCCCGUGCUGCAGCUUUUUACUGUCCAUGGGUCUUGUCCUCACCCUACUCCAUGCUAUUCUCUGAAUAAAGCAACACUACUACCAGACCUUGAGAGUCCAAGAAAUCUUUCUUUUGACUCCUCAGCUCACCAAGCCUGUGUCACAGUCACUCCUUCCCAUUGAAGAUCGGGGAAGGUGAAGGACAGGGAGAUGGGCGGACACUGACCUCAGGCUCAACUUCACCCACAUAUAUUGAGCACCUACUCUGUGCCAGGCCUGUACCGGGCAGUGGGGAGAAGAGAUAAAUUAGGUAUAAUGCCCUCCCUGUAAGGGCUGAGGAAUACACUCUUAGGUCUCUGGGAUGUCAACCCUUUAGACAAACUGGGUGCCAUUUACAGGUCUCAGCAGAGGGUGAUACUUGAGACCCCACCUCCCUCUGUGAGCAGAAGUCCAUGUGGUCUGCCCCUCCAUGGAUGGCCCUAGCCAUCAUGGGACUCUGCUGAGGCCCUGUGGUGAAUAUCAGGUCAGGGGACUCAGUCCAACUUCUGCUCUUGUACACAAGCCACAGAGACAGUUUUUGAGGUGCAGAUGGUGCCUCCACACCUGUGCACCUCUUCCACAGACAGUGCUUCUCUAGGGGCCCAGGGCAAGCCAGCAGAGGCCAACACCUGGAGACGUGGCAUUGGACCUGCGGGCAGGAGCAGGCGGGAUGGGACCUCUUACCCACCCACCCACAUUUGUAAUCGAAGAAGAAUUUCUGGAUUAUAAGUGGGGCUGGGUGGGGGAGGCCUGAGGACAGCUGGCUUUGCCCUUUUGUGAUCAGCUUUUGAGGUUCACACAUGGCCACUUCCCAGGGGUGCAGCUCGCCCUGGGAGGCUGGUCUAGCAUUGAGGCUCGUGUGUCCACUCACGACCAGAACCUGAGCAUUCUCUUUCUGUUUCCACUAGUGCUGGACCCAGUCCUACCUUCACUGACGUUUGAUUUCCAGGACCUCUUUGACCUUCCCCUGCCUCGGUCUGGGCACCUUAGGUCACCUGGACAAGCCUCCCAAACUUCCAAUCUCCCCGAGGGCUGGGGUUGGCCUUCCCUUCCUACUCAGAGGGCGUACGGGCUCCAUAUGCAAACCGUCUGCUCUAUCACUAGAGUUCUCUGGGGGACGGGUGGCCCUGCUGAGCCCUCUAAAACUGUGCUACACUCUUUCCCAAGGCAAAGGGCUGGCCUUAUGUUCUCCGUCUGAGGGAGCCCACUCUAGUGCUUCUCGGAGAAUGGAGAUCUGGCUCCCCCAUCUCUGCCGACCCAGAGAAGCAGCUGAAACUUCUCUCACCGAGGACGAAGUGAGCUCUGACUCCCCAGUCCCCUGUGGAAUCGAGCCUGGACGUUCAUGCUGUGACAGGGGUAGCAGGAGGCUCUGCUGGGAAGGCAUCCCAGAGGAGGGCACGUCUGAGCCCAGUUAUGAGCUUCAGAAGGACAUUCUAGGCAGAGAGAAUAGCCUGAGCUUAGACCAGAGACUAAAUCAACUGGUUGAGUUCCAGGAGCUGUGGUUGGCUUUAGGGGGAAAUGGGUGUGUGUGUGUGUGCAUGAGUCAGACCAGAGCCAGAUCUUAUGGGGCUUCUCACAGCCGGGGCAACUCACCGAGGACAAGGUGUCUUCUGAGAGAAGUUUAUUCUGUUUUUUGACAUGGGCUAUUGACAAGUAUAACAGAAA
Equus caballus (horse) is the source of this 3941-nucleotide non-coding RNA. Lineage: Eukaryota; Metazoa; Chordata; Mammalia; Perissodactyla; Equidae. The record is from RefSeq and is a predicted model, not a curated record.